GGGGUUGUAGCUCAGUGGCAGAGCGCUUGCCUUGCAUGUGAGAGGUACUUGGUUCGAUCCUCAGCACCA
Molecule: transfer RNA, 69 nt
Filed under: Ictidomys tridecemlineatus (thirteen-lined ground squirrel)
Lineage: Eukaryota; Metazoa; Chordata; Mammalia; Rodentia; Sciuridae
Description: Spermophilus tridecemlineatus (thirteen-lined ground squirrel) tRNA
Rfam family: tRNA
About the family: Transfer RNA (tRNA) molecules are approximately 80 nucleotides in length.
Source: Rfam by way of RNAcentral